UGAUUAAAGCAACAAGAGAGAAACGAUUAAACAGAAAAAGAGAAAAAGAGAAAAGUAAAACAAAAAUAUACAAUAUGACAAUAACUACACAAGUUCGUAUUUAAAAUCACUGGUCGGUGGUCGGUCAAUCGAUAAGACGAGAUAAGUAUAACGUGCCGCUUGACAAGGGCUCGAAAAGGGGAAAGCGAAAGAGAGACGUCGGGGAAAGCGGAAUGCAGCAAGGGAAACGAGGUCGGACUAAGGGAAAAUGUAUAUUUGUAUAUUUGUACGAAAGGAACGUGGAAAUGGACUGUCCACUUUUUUGCUUUUUUUUGGCAAAAAUAAAUGAGGAAAAUAAAGAAAAAUAAUAAUAAGAAGGUGAAGAAGAAAAGAUAAGGAAAAGAGAAAGGGAAAGAGAGAGAGAAAGAAAGAAAAAAGAGACAGAAAAGGAUCAAUCGGGUUAAAUCCCUUUUAAUCUUGAUACGAUAGUGCCGCAAAGGGGUCACGAUGAUUACUGACCGCGAGCGUCGCGACGUUGUCCCCGUGUAAUGACGCAUGCGUGUUGUGAACCUUUUCUCUCUCUCUGUCUCCCACUCUCCCAUUUUCUCAUCCCCUCCCAACAACCCUGUGACGCUCGUAAUCCGUCUCUCUUCUUUCUUGAACCAUAUAUAUGCAUUUCUUUUCUUCUUUUUCUCUUUCCCCACUUUCUCUCUAUCUCUCUCUCUUUUCAAUACAUUUGACUUUCUACCAUCGCUUUUCCUACGCGAAUUUCGUUUCUCCCUUACAUUAGUCUCAGAAAUGUACAACAUAGAGGGUUGUCAUAUAAUGUUGUAAUUUGUUCCUACAUAUAUAUAUACAUGUAUAUAGGGUAAUCUUUUGAAGUAACAUCAAUAAAUUCCUAGUCGUGUUUUAUAAAUCAGUAUUGAUUGAAGAAAAAUGUCAUAAUAAACGUGACUACGCGUGUGAAGCAUUUUUAAUCGUGUACAAGACUAAAUACGGAAGUGUUCCUCUAAGUGUAAAUUAUAUCUAAAAUUGUCUAUAUCUAAAAAAAAAAAAAAGAAAAAAGGAAUACUUCUUGGAUGCAUUGUGCGGACGUGUCUUACGAGUUUAUUAUCGAUGACAAAUUCGAUCGAUCAGAAGACGCAGCUGUAUACCACAGUGGAGCGUGUCUCGUGAGAAACCGCUCGGUGAAGACGUUCGUAUACCUUCUAGCCAGAAAUAUCGGGUUUCGGUACUUAUUUUCUGUGAAACAAUUUUCAAGUGAAGUAGCGUUAUUCAUUUUCGAGAUAUGGUUUAAGUUUUAUCAUUAUUUUUUUCUUUUCUGUGCAAAUAGUACAUAACGAAUUUCCCUCCUCGACAAUACCGACUCGUUUUUAUAAUUUUCAAUGUGAUAACGUCGAAUGAAAUAUAUUAUAAUAUAAUUUUCUAUGACCAGAGAUCAAUGAUAUCGACGCUUUUGUCCGUAACUAUGAUUGUCUAUAAUGGAAAUAUUUUUGGUUUUUUUGUUUCUUUUUUCCUUUUACAUUCCGGAGACACAUGCUCGACUUAUUAAAAAGAAAAAAAAGAAAAAUAAAUACAAUAGGUAUGGUAUAAAAGAUGCUAUUAGUACACAGGAGGAAGAACGUUAGACAUACUUUUUAAUUAACUUGUUAUGUAAAUUACUACUCACAACAAAAUACAUUGAUAAUACUGUACUACUUUGUGAAAAUCAAGUAUGCACUUAUGAAGGAUUUUAUCUCUUGUGUCGGAAUAAAAUGUCUUAUGUGCAUUUGUAA
RNAcentral lists this long non-coding RNA (1754 nucleotides) under Polistes canadensis. RNAcentral's name for it is "uncharacterized LOC106791904". The record is from RNAcentral. Lineage: Eukaryota; Metazoa; Arthropoda; Insecta; Hymenoptera; Vespidae.